GAGUCGCUCAUAAUUGGAGGGCUUUCUCCUGCGCCUGCGAGAGGAAGGCUGAGACGGCUGCAUUUCACCGCGGCAGCUAAAAUUG
Molecule: long non-coding RNA, 85 nt
Filed under: Betta splendens (Siamese fighting fish)
Lineage: Eukaryota; Metazoa; Chordata; Actinopteri; Anabantiformes; Osphronemidae
Description: lncRNA (ENSBSLG00000004253.1)
Source: RNAcentral